This 437-nucleotide long non-coding RNA is filed under the name Populus trichocarpa (black cottonwood). Its description in RNAcentral is "long non-coding RNA (PTRI_LNC000524)". The record is from RNAcentral. Lineage: Eukaryota; Viridiplantae; Streptophyta; Magnoliopsida; Malpighiales; Salicaceae.
UUCCCAGGAUGUUGCUGCGCCAAGUAUGGAUGAAUGGGCAUAACAGGCAUCUUUGGUUGGCCCUGACCUAAGCCAGCCAUUGCAAGAUUGGCCAAGCCAGGUUGAUUCAUUCCAAAUGAGAAGCCAGGCGAAGGCCCCAGCUGCUGCCUUCCAGGCAGGCUGAAGGAUCCAAAUGCAGGAGGCCGCUCAAACCUAGCCAUGCUGUUGUGAACCUGUGAUGACUCAUGUCUGUGAACAUGGGUUUGAACAGCAACAGCAGCUUGGCCUGGGGUGGCAUUGGAGGUGCCAGAGUUCACAUGGCUGCUAUUGCGAGCAGCAGGAACAUCAUGAUUGUGCUUCCCCUCAUACGUAGUGAUCACUGACUUGAGAUCAUGUGAUGCCCUCUCCACAUGCUUUCUAACCGUGCAGCCUGCACUAGUACACUUGUAAUAACUCCU